GAUGAACGCUGGCGGCGUGCUUAACACAUGCAAGUCGAACGAAGCACUUUUACAGAUUUCUUCGGAAUGAAGUUUUAGUGACUGAGUGGCGGACGGGUGAGUAACGCGUGGGUAACCUGCCUCACACAGGGGGAUAACAGUUGGAAACGGCUGCUAAUACCGCAUAAGCGCACAGUACCGCAUGGUACAGUGUGAAAAACUCCGGUGGUGUGAGAUGGACCCGCGUCUGAUUAGCUAGUUGGCAGGGCAACGGCCUACCAAGGCGACGAUCAGUAGCCGACCUGAGAGGGUGACCGGCCACAUUGGGACUGAGACACGGCCCAAACUCCUACGGGAGCAGCAGUGGGGAAUAUUGCACAAUGGGGAAACCCUGAUGCAGCGACGCCGCGUGAGCGAAGAAGUAUUCGGUAUGUAAAGCUCUAUCAGCAGGGAAGAAAAAAUGAACGGUACCU
Molecule: ribosomal RNA, 452 nt
Filed under: uncultured bacterium
Lineage: Bacteria
Description: bacterial SSU rRNA
Rfam family: Bacterial small subunit ribosomal RNA
Source: RNAcentral